Molecule: long non-coding RNA, 734 nt
Organism: Homo sapiens (human)
Lineage: Eukaryota; Metazoa; Chordata; Mammalia; Primates; Hominidae
Exons: 3
Source: RefSeq, a predicted model, not a curated record
GGUGUGCUCUCGCCAUUGUUCCAUCUGCAAGGAGCACUCUUUCUGCAGAAGGGACCUAUUCUCCUCUGGGGGUAGUCUCCAGUCCUCUCUCCUAAGGAGGUGCCCUGCUGCCUCAUUGCUGUGGCCUCAGCGGUGAGGAAUUGAGACCCACCUGCUGUGCUGAAUAAACCCGGACUCUCAGCAAUGCGGAAAGAAACCGGCUGGUGACCUGAAGUAAAGGAUCCUCACAUACUACGUGGACCAGACAACCUCGUGCACAAGCCAAGGAAGGAAACACUGGAGGAGCUGAACUAAAGGUCUUUCAGCACAGGUGCCACCCCUAGCAUUUCCAGCACACCAGCAUCAGCCUGGGGACCACGUCGUUGUCAAAAGUUAGAGAGAAGGAAAACUUGAACUGGCAAAGGACCUUACCUAGUGCUCCUAACUACCGAAAUGGCAGUCUGGACAGCAGAAAAAGGAUGGACCCAUCACACCCAAGUCAAGAAAGUGCUGCCCCCUCCAGAGUCAUGGGCCGUAGUCCCAGGAGAAAACCCUAUCAAACUAAAGAUAAGAAAAAUUUAACUCCUUUCAUCUAUUCUGUUACUCCUUCUUCUUUCCUUGCUCUAUUGCUGACUACCUAGUUAUUAAUGUAACCAAGUCAAUUUUGCCUCAAACUAUUACAUUUGAUGGUUGCCUUGUUAUACCCUGUGGAGAUUUGCCAAGUUAGGGGCAACUCUCCACUUCAGAAAACUAUC